AUUUCCAAUAAUUUAGUUAAUACUAAUUCACGAAGGGCAUGGAGCUAAUUACAUUAUAGAAUUAGCUAUUAAAUUAUAUGUGGCAACAUAUAAAGAAUAGGUGUAAUUAGGGGUGACAGGCUUAUCAACGUGUUAGAUAUCUUGAUCUACAGGAAAAAUAUUAAGUAUUUAGCUAAACUAGAAAUGGUUAGGUUUCUAGUUCACAUUAAAAGAAAUCUUAGUGGUACAGUUUAUGUAAUAAUUACUGUUUUUAUUAUAUUAUAAUAUUAUAUUAACAUUUUAUGCAAAUAUACUGUAGGGCUUUACUUAUUUAUUUGAAGGUUUCUUAAUGGAAAUAUUAGUAUUAAUUAUUAAAUUAUAGUAAGGAACUCGGCAAAUUUUUUGCUCAACUGUUUAACAAAAACAUAGCUAGAUGAUGUCAUAUUUAGUUUUUUCUGCUCAGUGAUUAAGUUAAAUAGCCGCAGUA
This 466-nucleotide ribosomal RNA is filed under the name Disculella madeirensis taeniata. RNAcentral's name for it is "partial large subunit ribosomal RNA". The record is from RNAcentral. Lineage: Eukaryota; Metazoa; Mollusca; Gastropoda; Stylommatophora; Hygromiidae.